Molecule: transfer RNA, 53 nt
Filed under: Physella acuta
Lineage: Eukaryota; Metazoa; Mollusca; Gastropoda; Physidae
Description: transfert RNA-K(AAA)
Source: RNAcentral
UGGUAGCUUAAAAUUAAAGCAAUUAACUUUUAAUUAAAAGAUUGGAAUACCAU